AUCAGUCGUCCUGAUGGCAUCAACAUCCCUGAUGGCAAAUUCUACCUAGGAGAUGCUGGCUAUGCAUGUCGGCCAGGUGUUCUUCCACCCUUCAGGAAAACUAGAUACCAUCUGAACGAGUUCUUUGAUAGGAACUAUGCUAGGACUCCCCAGGAACUGUUCAAUCUCAGACACUCCAGCCUUAGAGUAACAAUUGAGAGGGCAUUUGGAGCUCUGAAGAACAGGUUUAAGAUUCUGGAUCAGAAGCCAUUCCACCCUUACCCUACCUAGGCCAGGUUUGUUCUUGCAUGUUGCAUUCUGCAUACUUGGAUCCUCCAAUGGGGCAUUGAUGAACUUGUGUCCGAGGAGGAAGAGGUGACGCCUAAGGAUCUUGACCUUGAUGGCCAUGGUGUUGAGGCAUUUGACAACGAAGCCUGAAAGAACAAAAGGCUGAAGUGGGCACAUACAGUAUGGGAUAACAGAAGUCAGACAAGGAUCUGA
This 480-nucleotide ribosomal RNA is filed under the name Triticum aestivum (bread wheat). RNAcentral's name for it is "partial small subunit ribosomal RNA". Lineage: Eukaryota; Viridiplantae; Streptophyta; Magnoliopsida; Poales; Poaceae. The record is from RNAcentral.